RNAcentral lists this ribosomal RNA (816 nucleotides) under Paramonodictys solitaria. RNAcentral's name for it is "Pleosporales sp. NGL-2019c partial large subunit ribosomal RNA". It matches the Rfam family "Eukaryotic large subunit ribosomal RNA", at positions 77 to 907 of the family's 3401-position model. The record is from RNAcentral. Lineage: Eukaryota; Fungi; Ascomycota; Dothideomycetes; Pleosporales; Parabambusicolaceae.
GCCUCAGUAACGGCGAGUGAAGCGGCAACAGCUCAAAUUUGAAAUCUGGCUCUCUUUGGGGGUCCGAGUUGUAAUUUGAAGAGGGUGCUUUGGCGUCGACGGCGGUCUAAGUCCCUUGGAACAGGGCAUCGCAGAGGGUGAGAAUCCCGUAUGUGGCCGCAAGCCUUCGCCGUGUAAAGCCCCUUCGACGAGUCGAGUUGUUUGGGAAUGCAGCUCUAAAUGGGAGGUAAAUAUCUUCUAAAGCUAAAUACCGGCCAGAGACCGAUAGCGCACAAGUAGAGUGAUCGAAAGAUGAAAAGCACUUUGGAAAGAGAGUCAAACAGCACGUGAAAUUGUUGAAAGGGAAGCGCUUGCAGCCAGACUUGCUCGCAGUUGCUCAUCCGGGCUCUCGCCCGGUGCACUCUUCUGCGGGCAGGCCAGCAUCAGUUUGGGCAGCCGGAUAAAGACCUCUGUCACGUAUCUUCCUUCGGGAUGACCUUAUAGGGGAGGUGCAAUGCGGUUAGCCCGGACUGAGGUCCGCGCAUCUGCUAGGAUGCUGGCGUAAUGGCUGUAAGCGGCCCGUCUUGAAACACGGACCAAGGAGUCUAACAUCUAUGCGAGUGUUUGGGUGUCAAGCCCGGGCGCGCAAUGAAAGUGAACGGAGGUGGGAGCCCUCUCGGGGGUGCACCAUCGACCGAUCCUGAUGUCUUCGGAUGGAUUUGAGUAAGAGCAUAGCUGUUGGGACCCGAAAGAUGGUGAACUAUGCUUGAAUAGGGUGAAGCCAGAGGAAACUCUGGUGGAGGCUCGCAGCGGUUCUGACGUGCAAAUCGAUCGUCA